UGGCAGGAAGCAAGAAAAGAAGUCGGGAGAGAAUUUUCGAUCGGUUCCCUUUAGCUUCUCAAAACUUAUCCGAAAUCCUUUCCCGGCUUCUUUUCUUGCUUUCGUUUAAU
RNAcentral lists this microRNA precursor (110 nucleotides) under Gossypium hirsutum (cotton). Its description in RNAcentral is "miR7508 stem-loop (ghr-MIR7508)". Lineage: Eukaryota; Viridiplantae; Streptophyta; Magnoliopsida; Malvales; Malvaceae. The record is from miRBase by way of RNAcentral.